Molecule: transfer RNA, 73 nt
Filed under: Arthonia quintaria
Lineage: Eukaryota; Fungi; Ascomycota; Arthoniomycetes; Arthoniales; Arthoniaceae
Description: tRNA-Met
Rfam family: tRNA
About the family: Transfer RNA (tRNA) molecules are approximately 80 nucleotides in length. Their secondary structure includes four short double-helical elements and three loops (D, anti-codon, and T loops).
Source: RNAcentral
AAGGUUAUAGCUUAAUAGGUAAAGCCAGCUGCUCAUGACAGCUAAGAUGAAUGUUCGAAUCGUUCUAGCCUUA